Molecule: ribosomal RNA, 253 nt
Filed under: uncultured prokaryote
Description: partial 16S ribosomal RNA
Rfam family: Bacterial small subunit ribosomal RNA
Source: RNAcentral
UACAGAGGGUGCAAGCGUUGUUCGGAAUUAUUGGGCGUAAAGGGCGCGUAGGCGGUGCUGUAAGUCUGUGGUGAAAUCUCUGGGCUCAACUCAGAGUCUGCCAUAGAAACUGCAGUGCUGGAGUGUGGGAGAGGUGAGUGGAAUUCCCGGUGUAGCGGUGAAAUGCGUAGAUAUCGUAAGGAAGACCAGUGGCGAAGGCGGGUCUCUGGACAGUUCCUGACACUGAGACACGAAGGCCAGGGGAGCAAACGGG